GAUGAACGCUGGCGGCGUGCCUAAUACAUGCCAGUCGAGCGAACAGAUCAGGAGCUUGCUCCUUUGACGUUAGCGGCGGACGGGUGAGUAACACGUGUGUAACCUACCUAUAAGACUGGUAUAACCCCGGGAAACCGGGGCUAAUGCCGGAUAAGAUUUAGAACCGUAUGGUUCUAAAGAGAAAGUUGGUUGUGCUAUCACUUAUAGAUGGACCCGCGCCGUAUUAGCUAGUUGGUAAGGUAACGGCUUACCAAGGCAACGAUUCGUAGCCGACCUGAGGGGCGGAUCGGCCACACUGGAACUGAGACGCGGUCCAGACUCCUACGGGAGGCAGCAGUAGGGAAUCUUCCGCAAUGGGCGAAAGCCUGACGGAGCAGCGCCGCGUGAGUGAUGGAGGUCUUCGGAUCGUAAAACUCUGUUAUUAGGGAAGAACAAAUGUGUAAGUAACUGUGCACGUCUUGACGGUACCUAAUCAGAAAGCCACGGCUAACUACGUG
RNAcentral lists this ribosomal RNA (497 nucleotides) under uncultured bacterium. RNAcentral's name for it is "partial 16S ribosomal RNA". It matches the Rfam family "Bacterial small subunit ribosomal RNA", at positions 28 to 507 of the family's 1533-position model. The record is from RNAcentral.